Molecule: ribosomal RNA, 2308 nt
Filed under: Salmonella enterica subsp. enterica serovar Typhimurium
Lineage: Bacteria; Pseudomonadati; Pseudomonadota; Gammaproteobacteria; Enterobacterales; Enterobacteriaceae
Description: partial 23S ribosomal RNA
Rfam family: Bacterial large subunit ribosomal RNA
Source: RNAcentral
AAUCCAUAGGUUAAUGAGGCGAACCGGGGGAACUGAAACAUCUAAGUACCCCGAGGAAAAGAAAUCAACCGAGAUUCCCCCAGUAGCGGCGAGCGAACGGGGAGGAGCCCAGAGCCUGAAUCAGCAUGUGUGUUAGUGGAAGCGUCUGGAAAGGCGCGCGAUACAGGGUGACAGCCCCGUACACAAAAGCGCAUGUGCUGUGAGCUCGAUGAGUAGGGCGGGACACGUGGUAUCCUGUCUGAAUAUGGGGGGACCAUCCUCCAAGGCUAAAUACUCCUGACUGACCGAUAGUGAACCAGUACCGUGAGGGAAAGGCGAAAAGAACCCCGGCGAGGGGAGUGAAAAAGAACCUGAAACCGUGUACGUACAAGCAGUGGGAGCACAGGUUUACCUGUGUGACUGCGUACCUUUUGUAUAAUGGGUCAGCGACUUAUAUUCUGUAGCAAGGUUAACCGAAUAGGGGAGCCGGAGGGAAACCGAGUCUUAAUUGGGCGUUAAGUUGCAGGGUAUAGACCCGAAACCCGGUGAUCUAGCCAUGGGCAGGUUGAAGGUUGGGUAACACUAACUGGAGGACCGAACCGACUAAUGUUGAAAAAUUAGCGGAUGACCUGUGGCUGGGGGUGAAAGGCCAAUCAAACCGGGAGAUAGCUGGUUCUCCCCGAAAGCUAUUUAGGUAGCGCCUCGUGAAUUCAUCUCCGGGGGUAGAGCACUGUUUCGGCUAGGGGGCCAUCCCGGCUUACCAACCCGAUGCAAACUGCGAAUACCGGAGAAUGUUAUCACGGGAGACACACGGCGGGUGCUAACGUCCGUCGUGAAGAGGGAAACAACCCAGACCGCCAGCUAAGGUCCCAAAGUCAUGGUUAAGUGGGAAACGAUGUGGGAAGGCCCAGACAGCCAGGAUGUUGGCUUAGAAGCAGCCAUCAUUUAAAGAAAGCGUAAUAGCUCACUGGUCGAGUCGGCCUGCGCGGAAGAUGUAACGGGGCUAAACCAUGCACCGAAGCUGCGGCAGCGAACGUAUCACCCAAGACAACUUUACGGAGUUGACGAUUGACGGAGCGAAGCGACGUCAAAGCGUUCAUUAAAGUCGAGUUGGCUUAGGGAUACGUUCGUUGGGUAGGGGAGCGUUCUGUAAGCCUGUGAAGGUGUGUCGUGAGGCAUGCUGGAGGUAUCAGAAGUGCGAAUGCUGACAUAAGUAACGAUAAAGCGGGUGAAAAGCCCGCUCGCCGGAAGACCAAGGGUUCCUGUCCAACGUUAAUCGGGGCAGGGUGAGUCGACCCCUAAGGCGAGGCCGAAAGGCGUAGUCGAUGGGAAACGGGUUAAUAUUCCCGUACUUGGUGUUACUGCGAAGGGGGGACGGAGAAGGCUAUGUUGGCCGGGCGACGGUUGUCCCGGUUUAAGCGUGUAGGUGUGUGUUCCAGGUAAAUCCGGUUCACUUUAACACUGAGGCGUGACGACGAGGCACUACGGUGCUGAAGCAACAAAUGCCCUGCUUCCAGGAAAAGCCUCUAAGCAUCAGGUAACAUCAAAUCGUACCCCAAACCGACACAGGUGGUCAGGUAGAGAAUACCAAGGCGCUUGAGAGAACUCGGGUGAAGGAACUAGGCAAAAUGGUGCCGUAACUUCGGGAGAAGGCACGCUGACACGUAGGUGAAGUGAUUUACUCAUGGAGCUGAAGUCAGUCGAAGAUACCAGCUGGCUGCAACUGUUUAUUAAAAACACAGCACUGUGCAAACACGAAAGUGGACGUAUACGGUGUGACGCCUGCCCGGUGCCGGAAGGUUAAUUGAUGGGGUCAGCGCAAGCGAAGCUCCUGAUCGAAGCCCCGGUAAACGGCGGCCGUAACUAUAACGGUCCUAAGGUAGCGAAAUUCCUUGUCGGGUAAGUUCCGACCUGCACGAAUGGCGUAAUGAUGGCCAGGCUGUCUCCACCCGAGACUCAGUGAAAUUGAACUCGCUGUGAAGAUGCAGUGUACCCGCGGCAAGACGGAAAGACCCCGUGAACCUUUACUAUAGCUUGACACUGAACAUUGAGCCUUGAUGUGUAGGAUAGGUGGGAGGCUUUGAAGUGUGGACGCCAGUCUGCAUGGAGCCGACCUUGAAAUACCACCCUUUAAUGUUUGAUGUUCUAACGUGGACCCGUAAUCCGGGUUGCGGACAGUGUCUGGUGGGUAGUUUGACUGGGGCGGUCUCCUCCUAAAGAGUAACGGAGGAGCACGAAGGUUGGCUAAUCCUGGUCGGACAUCAGGAGGUUAGUGCAAUGGCAUAAGCCAGCUUGACUGCGAGCGUGACGGCGCGAGCAGGUGCGAAAG